AACGCACCUUGCGCCCCUUGGCAUUCCGAGGGGCACGCCUGUUUGAGUGUCGUGAACUCCUCCACCCUCUACCUUUUUCGGAAGGCAUUGGGCUGGGAUUUGGGAGCUUGCGGGUCCCUGGCCGAUCCGCUCUCCUUGAAUACAUUAGCGAAGCCCUUGCGGCCUUGGUGUGAUAGUCAUCUACGCCUUGGCUUAGCGAACAUACGGGAAUCGCUUCCAACCGUCUCGCAGGAGACAAUCACUACCAACUUGACCUCAAAUCAGGCGGGACUACCCGCUGAACUUAA
Molecule: unclassified non-coding RNA, 287 nt
Filed under: uncultured Peniophora
Lineage: Eukaryota; Fungi; Basidiomycota; Agaricomycetes; Russulales; Lachnocladiaceae
Description: sequence contains ITS2
Rfam family: 5.8S ribosomal RNA (bases 1-52)
Source: RNAcentral